GCCUUUAGCCCAACUAGUAUUAAAGGUCCCGCCUGCCCAGUGAAAAUUUUAACGGCCGCGGUAUUCUAACCGUGCAAAGGUAGCGUAAUCACUUGUCUUCUAAAUAAAGACCAGUAUGAACGGCUAAAUGAGGACAGACCUGUCUCCUAUGACUAAUCAGUGAAACUGAUCUUCCAGUACAAAAGCUGGAAUACAGACAUAAGACGAGAAGACCCUGUGGAGCUUCAAACAUCCACUAACAAGCAAAUAAUCUGCCCUAGUGUGUAGUUUUGAGUUGGGGCGACUUCGGAGUAAAAUAAAACCUCCGAGCACAGAGCCACACACUCUCACCAAGACCAACAAGCCAAAGUUAAAACAGCCGACCCAGUAACACUGAUCAACGAACCAAGUUACCCCAGGGAUAACAGCGCUAUCUUCUUCAAGAGUCCCUAUCGACAAGAAGGUUUACGACCUCGAUGUUGGAUCAGGACACCCAAAUGGUGCAGCCGCUAUUAAUGGUUCGUUUGUUCAACGAUUAACAGUCCUACGUGAUCUGAGUUCAG
This 542-nucleotide ribosomal RNA is filed under the name Scincus scincus (sandfish skink). Its description in RNAcentral is "partial 16S ribosomal RNA". It matches the Rfam family "Bacterial large subunit ribosomal RNA", at positions 1818 to 2614 of the family's 2925-position model. The record is from RNAcentral. Lineage: Eukaryota; Metazoa; Chordata; Lepidosauria; Squamata; Scincidae.